UCAGAAACGGGGCUUCGGCCCUCUUUCACACCCUCUGUCUACCUUCUCUGUUGCUUUGGCGGGCCGUCGGGUCCCCCCGCCCCCGGCCUCGGCUGGGGCGUGCCCGCCAGAGGACCCUCUCAAACACAUGGCAAACCGGGUUGUCCGAGUACACAUGAAUCAGCCA
Molecule: unclassified non-coding RNA, 166 nt
Filed under: uncultured Ascomycota
Lineage: Eukaryota; Fungi; Ascomycota
Description: sequence contains ITS1
Source: RNAcentral